This 563-nucleotide ribosomal RNA is filed under the name uncultured bacterium. RNAcentral describes it as "partial 16S ribosomal RNA". It matches the Rfam family "Bacterial small subunit ribosomal RNA", at positions 355 to 912 of the family's 1533-position model. The record is from RNAcentral.
CUAAGAAUAUUCCGCAAUGGACGGAAGUCUGACGGAGCGACGCCGCGUGGAUGACGAAGGCCGAAAGGUUGUAAAGUUCUUUUGCUGGGGAAGAAUAACCGCAGGAGGGAAUGCCUGUGGGAUGACAAGAACCGGCGAAUAAGCCCCGGCCAACUACGUGCCAGCAGCCGCGGUAACACGUAGGGGGCGAGCGUUGUUCGGAAUUACUGGGCGUAAAGGGCAUGUAGGCGGCUUGGAAAGCCUGGCGUGAAAGUCUGCAGCUUAACUGCAGGGGUGCGCUGGGAACUGCUGAGCUUGAGUGACGGAGAGGGAGCUGGAAUUCCUGGUGUAGGGGUGAAAUCUGUAGAUAUCAGGAAGAACACCGAUGGCGAAGGCAAGCUCCUGGCCGAUGACUGACGCUGAGGUGCGAAAGUGUGGGGAUCAAAACAGGAUUAGAUACCCUGGUAGUCCACACAGUCAACGAUGUGCACUAGGUGCUGGGGCGGUAGCUUCGGUGCCGGAGCGAACGUGGUAAGUGCACCGCCUGGGGAGUAUGCUCGCAAGGGUGAAACUCAAAUGAAUUG